Molecule: long non-coding RNA, 923 nt
Organism: Cyprinodon variegatus (sheepshead minnow)
Lineage: Eukaryota; Metazoa; Chordata; Actinopteri; Cyprinodontiformes; Cyprinodontidae
Exons: 3
Source: RefSeq, a predicted model, not a curated record
AGUUUCUGUUUGCUAUUUCUUCUAGGUGUCAGUCACAGCAAGGGAUGAUGUACCUUUCUUUGGACCUGCUCUACCUGACCCUGCAAUCUUCAAAAAGGGCCCAGAGUUUCAUGAGUUCCUCUUCACCAAGCUGAUCAAUGCAGAGUAUGCCUGCUACAAGGCUGAGAAGUUUGCAAAGCUGGAGGAGCGUACACGUUCAGCCCUGCUGGAAACAUUAUAUGAAGAACUGCACAUCAACAGUCAGUCCAUGAUGGGUCUGGGUGGGGAGGAAGAUAAGCUGGAGAACGGAGGUGGUGGAGGAGGGGGCGGCUUCUUCGAGUCAUUUAAGGUACAUCAUUAUUUUCAAAUUGAUUGGGCGCACUGGUGAUCUGCAAAACUGCACAAGCAUGAGCAAGAAUGGCGAUGAGUGGAAAAACUUUUCGGAUGUUUUCUUUUCUUUUUGUCCUCUCCUGUCUCUUGGCUGGGAUUCUGGGUAUUCACACAUGAGAAAACAAAGCGUAGAAAAUGUGCAGGAUCUCAGAGGACUAGUCUAUCCCAUUUGCUGUCCUCACUUGGCUGUUAGUGCUGAACGCAGUGGGUUUUCACUUGGCGUAGUGAUUUUUGGAAUCUGCAAAGUGUCCCCUUGUGUAUGCAAGACACUUCUCUACGUCCGAGAGUCCUCCAUCACUGACCGCGGUGAAGCGGCGUCCGGCUGCUGAGGCAUGGCAGCAGGAAUUGUGAAAGUCUGUGGCUGAUGAACGAUUUAAUGACCCUUCAUUAUGCAGCUUAUGAUGCAAUUUGCACACCUCCCCUUGGGUAGCGUCCCAUUAAGGUUUUUCUUUCCUCAAUCCUUUUUCUUCUACCUCAGUCUCAGAUGCUCUCAGUAUUUCUGUAAGCCAGUUUUUUUUUCUUUAAUACCUUUAAAUCAAAGUUGUCAGGUGCUC